Triticum aestivum (bread wheat) is the source of this 196-nucleotide non-coding RNA. NCBI's taxonomy places the organism in Eukaryota, Viridiplantae, Streptophyta, Magnoliopsida, Poales, Poaceae. The record is from Rfam.
AUAUCUUUCUUGGCCUUUUGGCUAAGAUCAAGUGUAGUAUCUGUUUUUAUCAGUUUAGUAUUUGAUAUGUGGGCCAUGUGCUUACAAUGAUAUUGAAUUUAUUUUUUCUGAGGGAGGGUCCAUCACAUUGGCUUGUCAUUGCGGUCCUCAGGUGUCGCCUGGUUUUUGCACUAUAGCCUAUGCAGGCGCACUCCAA